AAAGAGGUCGCAUACACAACUAUCUCAGUCAUCUCAGGAUCAACAAGCUCAACCAUCUCAAAAGCAACUAUCACAAAUGUCUAAAAAAUUGACAUCUCAUAAGUAUCUGGGGCAAUUUUCUGAUCAUAUACAUCCACAUAUUGUUGACAUUAUUGAAGUGUUAGGAGAUGGAAAUUGUGGUUUUAGAGCUGUUGCAUAUUUACUUGGUUACACAGAGGAAGGUUGGCCCAUCGUCCGCCGAGAGUUACAUGAAGAGCUGACAAAUAAUAACAAUUUGUAUGAGAAAUUAUUCAGACAAGGUUUACAGGGCGUUAGAGAUUCGCUGGUAGCAAAUAGAUGGUUCACCGUACCUGCUAUGGGUUACUUGGUAGCAAAUAGGUAUAAUAUUAUUUUAGUCACUUUGGGUAAACCUAGUCGGACCUUCUGAUGUAGGAGGAUCCUCCUACAUCACCUUCUUUCCUAUGAUGACUUCAUAUUCCUCUUCAGCAAGGUUUUUUUGUAUCGGUUUUGUCGGUGGAAAUCAUUAGGUGCCGGUAAACAUGUCAAAGGGA
Molecule: long non-coding RNA, 551 nt
Filed under: Trifolium pratense (red clover)
Lineage: Eukaryota; Viridiplantae; Streptophyta; Magnoliopsida; Fabales; Fabaceae
Description: long non-coding RNA (TPRA_LNC010301)
Source: RNAcentral